RNAcentral lists this long non-coding RNA (718 nucleotides) under Gadus morhua (Atlantic cod). RNAcentral describes it as "lncRNA (ENSGMOG00000027895.1)". The record is from RNAcentral. Lineage: Eukaryota; Metazoa; Chordata; Actinopteri; Gadiformes; Gadidae.
AAACAAAAAGAGGGCGUGGGCCAAAGUUGCCCAGACUGUAUCUGCAGUGGCGGAUGUAGUAAAAAAAAAAGUGGGCUGACAUCAAAUCUAUUGUAAAAAAGAAUGGAACGGAGAGGGCAAGAGAGUUGAAAAAAAACCGGAGGAGGGAAGACGACAAUCCAGCUGGACCCACUGGAGGAGAAGUUGUUGGGGGCGAUUGCCGAAACGUUAGUUGAAGGAGUAGAUAGAGGAGUGGACACUGGAGAACCGGGAGAAGACGAUAGCCUGCAAGCAGGAGAUACUUUGGUCAUAAUAGCAGUCAACCAGGAUGCAGAACAAUCCCACACAAUCAAUGCAGCUGAACCAACCCAAGCCCUUACAAACCAUCAAAACCUGUUACAGAGUCCCGGGGAUGACCUGACAAUAUCCCAGCUAUUCUCGGAAACCUUUCAUACACCUGCCAGCCACAUCCAGAAGCAACACAGAGGACAUGGUCUCCCUUCAGCGUCAGCUUUUGGAGGAAGUUAAAAUGCUGAGGCACACUCCGGAGCAACUCCUGCAGGUGGAGAGGGAAAAGCUGCUCGUCGAGAGGGAGAAGCUUCACCUUGCCCAAGCCAAGUUUGAUUUAAAAAAAAAUGAAUGUUGAACCUAGAAUAAAAUAGCAAUCACUCAGAGGUUUUCAUGUGUUGUUUAUUGUGGUUUUUCUUCACAUGAAUCUCCUCCUUAUGAGGUCUUGUCU